Molecule: ribosomal RNA, 792 nt
Filed under: uncultured bacterium
Lineage: Bacteria
Description: bacterial SSU rRNA
Rfam family: Bacterial small subunit ribosomal RNA
Source: RNAcentral
UGUCUUAGCUUGCUAAGGCUGAUGGCGACCGGCGCACGGGUGAGUAACACGUAUCCAACCUGCCGUCUACUCUUGGCCAGCCUUCUGAAAGGAAGAUUAAUCCAGGAUGGCAUCAUGAGUUCACAUGUCCGCAUGAUUAAAGGUAUUUUCCGGUAGACGAUGGGGAUGCGUUCCAUUAGAUAGUAGGCGGGGUAACGGCCACCUAGUCAACGAUGGAUAGGGGUUCUGAGAGGAAGGUCCCCCACAUUGGAACUGAGACACGGUCCAAACUCCUACGGGAGGCAGCAGUGAGGAAUAUUGGUCAAUGGGCGAUGGCCUGAACCAGCCAAGUAGCGUGAAGGAUGACUGCCCUAUGGGUUGUAAACUUCUUUUAUAAAGGAAUAAAGUCGGGUAUGCAUACCCGUUUGCAUGUACUUUAUGAAUAAGGAUCGGCUAACUCCGUGCCAGCAGCCGCGGUAAUACGGAGGAUCCGAGCGUUAUCCGGAUUUAUUGGGUUUAAAGGGAGCGUAGAUGGAUGUUUAAGUCAGUUGUGAAAGUUUGCGGCUCAACCGUAAAAUUGCAGUUGAUACUGGAUGUCUUGAGUGCAGUUGAGGCAGGCGGAAUUCGUGGUGUAGCGGUGAAAUGCUUAGAUAUCACGAAGAACUCCGAUUGCGAAAGCAGCCUGCUAAGCUGCAACUGACAUUGAGGCUCGAAAGUGUGGGUAUCAAACAGGAUUAGAUACCCUGGUAGUCCACACGGUAAACGAUGAAUACUCGCUGUUGCGAUAUACGGCAAGCGGCCAAGCGAAAGCGU